RNAcentral lists this long non-coding RNA (331 nucleotides) under Zostera marina. RNAcentral's name for it is "long non-coding RNA (ZMAR_LNC005692)". Lineage: Eukaryota; Viridiplantae; Streptophyta; Magnoliopsida; Alismatales; Zosteraceae. The record is from RNAcentral.
CUGCCAAUCCUUUUCUGAAGAUGUCGGAUUUUUGACAACGAGUCGAUCUCAUUUCUCCCUGGAAAUGUCGACGUUGCUCAAAAAGUUGAUCUCAUCUUUUUCUGAGGAUGACGAUCAGAGUAGUGCUGAAUGUCGAUCCUUUUCUUUUUUUGAAGGUUUCGAAUUCCUUGGUAAAUGUCGACGCUCGACGCCUGUCCCCCUUCUGGGACUGUCGAACUCAUUUUUCUGCGAAAUGUCGAUCCUGCCCUUCCCUUUUGAAGGUUUCGAAUUCCUUGCCAAAUGUCGACGUUUAUCUCCCUUUUCUGGGAAUGUCGAACUCGAUUUUCUGCGG